AUUGAACGCUGGCGGCGUGCCUAAUACAUGCAAGUCGAGCGAAGCGGGGACGGGUGAGUAACACGUGGAUAACCUCCUAUAAGACUGGGAUAAAUUCGGGGCAACGGAGCUAAACCAGAUACUUAUAGAUGGAUCCGCGCUGCAUUAGCUAGUUGGUAAGGUAACGGCUUACCAAGGCAACGAUGCAUAGCGGACCUGAGAGGGUGAUCGGCCACAAUGUAACUGAGACACGGUCCAGACUCCGACGUGAGGCAGCAGUAGGGAAUAUUCCGCAAGGGGCGAAAGCCUGUCGGAGAAACGCCGCGUGAGUGAUGAAGGUCUUCGGAUCGUAAAACUUUGUUAUUAGGGAAGCGGUACCUAAUCAGAAAGCCACGGCUAACUACGUGCCAGCAGCCGCGGUAAUAC
This 405-nucleotide ribosomal RNA is filed under the name uncultured bacterium. RNAcentral describes it as "partial 16S ribosomal RNA". It matches the Rfam family "Bacterial small subunit ribosomal RNA", at positions 30 to 526 of the family's 1533-position model. The record is from RNAcentral.